UACAGAGGUCUCAACCGUUGUUCGGAUUCAUUGGGCGUAAAGGGUGCGUAGGCGGUCGCGUAAGUCAGGUGUGAGAUCUCAGGGCUCAACCCUGAAACUGCACUUGAUACUGCGUGGCUCGGGUACUGGAGAGGAGACUGGAAUUUACGGUGUAGCAGUGAAAUGCGUAGAUAUCGUAAGGAAGACCAGUGGCGAAGGCGAGUCUCUGGACAGUUACCGACGCUGAGGCACGAAGGUCAGGGGAGCAAACGGG
RNAcentral lists this ribosomal RNA (253 nucleotides) under uncultured bacterium. Its description in RNAcentral is "partial 16S ribosomal RNA". It matches the Rfam family "Bacterial small subunit ribosomal RNA", at positions 524 to 776 of the family's 1533-position model. The record is from RNAcentral.